AAGCUGCGAUAAGUAAUGUGAAUUGCAGAACUCAGUGAAUCAUCGAGUCUUCGAACGCACAUUGCGCCCCCUGGUAUCCCGGGGGGCACGCCUGUCCGAGCGUCGUCGACACCCCCUUCAGGCCUCUGUGUGAGUGCCCGGCGUUGGGCCAUCACGCCCCCGCGUGGGCGGGCCCGCAAGCCUCCGACCGGCGGUCCCUCGGAGCCCCGAGCGCAGCGGCUGAACCUUGCUCGCGUAGGCACCCCGAGCCGAGACCCGGCGCGAACCCGACGCACCAUUGACCUCGGAUCAGGUGGGGCUACCCGCUGAACUUAA
Molecule: unclassified non-coding RNA, 315 nt
Filed under: uncultured Agyriales
Lineage: Eukaryota; Fungi; Ascomycota; Lecanoromycetes
Description: sequence contains ITS1
Rfam family: 5.8S ribosomal RNA (bases 1-105)
Source: RNAcentral